CCAAUAGCGUAUAUUAAAGUUGUUGCAGUUAAAAAGCUCGUAGUUGAACUUCGGGGUCUACCCAUUGGUCAGGCUUAAUUGUCUGUACUGGUGAGAUAAAUCUCUACCUUCUGAGGAACUUUCAUGCCAUUUAUUUGGUGUGAUUGGAAAUCAGGACUGUUACUUUGAAAAAAUUAGAGUGUUUAAAGCAGACUAUCGUCUGAAUACAUUAGCAUGGAAUAAUGAAAUAGGACGGACUGAUUCUAUUUCGUUGGUUUCUAGGAUCACCGUAAUGAUUAAUAGGGAUAGUUGGGGGCAUUAGUAUUCAAUUGUCAGAGGUGAAAUUCUUGGAUUUAUUGAAGACUAACUACUGCGAAAGCAUUUGCCAAGGAUGUUUUCAUUAAUCAAGAACGAAAGUUAGGGGAUCGAAGACGAUCAGAUACCGUCGUAGUCUUAACCAUAAACUAUGCCGACUAGGGAUCGGACGAAGUUAAUUUUAUAAUGACGCGUUCGGCACCUUACG
Molecule: ribosomal RNA, 502 nt
Filed under: uncultured Glomeromycotina
Lineage: Eukaryota; Fungi; Glomeromycota
Description: partial small subunit ribosomal RNA
Rfam family: Eukaryotic small subunit ribosomal RNA
Source: RNAcentral